UACAGAGGUGGCGAGCGUUGUUCGGAUUUACUGGGCGUAAAGGGCGCGUAGGCGGCGGCGUAUGCCGGGUGUGAAAUCCGUGGGCCCAACCCACGAACUGCGCCCGUAACUGCGUUGCUAGAGUACGGGAGGGGGGAUCGGAAUGCAGGGUGUAGCGGUGAAAUGCGUUGAUAUCCUGCAGAACACCGGAGGCGAAGGCGGAUCCCUGGAACGUUACUGACGCUGAGGCGCGAAAGCAGGGGGAGCAAACAGGAUUAGAUACCCUGGUAGUCCCUGCCCUAAACGGUGUGCACUUGGCGCUGCGGGAAUUCACCCCUGCAGUGCCGAAGCUAACGUGUUAAGUGCACCGCCUGGGGAGUACGGCCGCAAGGCUAAAACUCAAAGAAAUUGACGGGGGCCCGCACAAGCGGAGGAGCAUGUGGCUUAAUUCGAUGCAACGCGAAGAACCUUACCCGGGUUUGACAUGUGACUGCACGUCCUAUGAAAGUAGGACUCCUUCGAGGGUGUCACACAGGUGCUGCAUGGCU
Molecule: ribosomal RNA, 527 nt
Filed under: uncultured bacterium
Lineage: Bacteria
Description: bacterial SSU rRNA
Rfam family: Bacterial small subunit ribosomal RNA
Source: RNAcentral